GAUGAACGCUGGCGGCGUGCCUAAUACAUGCAAGUCGAGCGAACAGACGAGGAGCUUGCUCCUCUGACGUUAGCGGCGGACGGGUGAGUAACACGUGGAUAACCUACCUAUAAGACUGGGAUAACUUCGGGAAACCGGAGCUAAUACCGGAUAAUAUAUUGAACCGCAUGGUUCAAUAGUGAAAGACGGUUUUGCUGUCACUUAUAGAUUGAUCCGCGCCGCAUUAGCUAGUUGGUAAGGUAACGGCUUACCAAGGCAACGAUGCGUAGCCGACCUGAGAGGGUGAUCGGCCACACUGGAACUGAGACAGGGUCCAGACUCCUACGGGAGGCAGCAGUAGGGAAUCUUCCGCAAUGGGCGAAAGCUUGACGGAGCAACGCCGCGUGAGUGAUGAAGGUCUUCGGAUCGUAAAACUCUGUUAUUAGGGAAGAACAAAUGUGUAAGUAACUAUGCACGUCUUGACGGUACCUAAUCAGAAAGCCACGGCUAACUACGUG
This 497-nucleotide ribosomal RNA is filed under the name uncultured bacterium. RNAcentral describes it as "partial 16S ribosomal RNA". It matches the Rfam family "Bacterial small subunit ribosomal RNA", at positions 28 to 507 of the family's 1533-position model. The record is from RNAcentral.